UUGACAGGCCUGAAGACUGAUCAGAACAGGUAGGACAGCAAUGCAAGUGUCCCCCACCCAGCCUCACCCUUCCCCACCAAUGGGCCUCAACCCUGCCCUGGAGGGGCCACCUGGAGGGCUGAGAAGGGAGUUCCCUUUCCACGUGCAAUAAAAAGGCUGAA
This 161-nucleotide small RNA is filed under the name Chrysemys picta bellii (western painted turtle). Its description in RNAcentral is "TUC338 (ENSCPBG00000015602.1)". Lineage: Eukaryota; Metazoa; Chordata; Testudines; Emydidae. The record is from RNAcentral.